Molecule: ribosomal RNA, 229 nt
Filed under: uncultured bacterium
Lineage: Bacteria
Description: partial 16S ribosomal RNA
Rfam family: Bacterial small subunit ribosomal RNA
Source: RNAcentral
CGGGGUGAGUAAUGUCUGGGAAACUGCCUGAUGGAGGGGGAUAACUGCUGGAAACGGUAGCUAAUACCGCAUAACGUCGCAAGACCAAAGAGGGGGACCUUCGGGCCUCUUGCCAUCGGAUGUGCCCAGAUGGGAUUAGCUAGUAGGUGGGGUAAUGGCUCACCUAGGCGACGAUCCCUAGCUGGUCUGAGAGGAUGACCAGCCACACUGGAACUGAGACACGGUCCAG